Molecule: ribosomal RNA, 406 nt
Filed under: Prototheca zopfii
Lineage: Eukaryota; Viridiplantae; Chlorophyta; Trebouxiophyceae; Chlorellales; Chlorellaceae
Description: SSU rRNA
Rfam family: Eukaryotic small subunit ribosomal RNA
Source: RNAcentral
UGGCGUUCUUAGUUGGUGGGUUGCCUUGUCAGGUUGAUUCCGGUAACGAACGAGACCUCGGCCUGCUAACUAGCUUCGGGGGGCUUUUGCCCCGCCGACGCUUCUUAGAGGGACUGCUGGCGUUCCAGCCAGCGGAAGCGCGAGGCGAUAACAGGUCUGUGAUGCCCUUAGAUGUUCUGGGCCGCACGCGCGCUACACUGGCGCGGGCAACGAGCUUUCCGUCCCGCCGAGAGGCGCGACGACUCUCCCAACCCGCGCCGUGACGGGGAUAGAUCCUUGGAAUUUUUGAUCUUCAACGAGGAAUGCCUAGUAGGCGCAAGUCAUCAGCUUGCGUCGAUUACGUCCCUGCCCUUUGUACACACCGCCCGUCGCUCCUACCGAUUGGGUGUGCUGGUGAAGCGCUCGG